RNAcentral lists this ribosomal RNA (97 nucleotides) under Pectobacterium carotovorum subsp. carotovorum. RNAcentral describes it as "partial 23S ribosomal RNA". The stretch from base 1 to 79 matches the Rfam family "Bacterial large subunit ribosomal RNA", at positions 2847 to 2925 of the family's 2925-position model. The record is from RNAcentral. Lineage: Bacteria; Pseudomonadati; Pseudomonadota; Gammaproteobacteria; Enterobacterales; Pectobacteriaceae.
ACGACGUAGAUAGGCUGGGUGUGUAAGCGUAGCGAUACGUUGAGCUAACCAGUACUAAUGACCCGAGAGGCUUAACCUUACAACACCGAAGGUGUUU